CAUCUAGCAUGUGCGCAAGUCAUUGGGUAUUUAUAAUAAACCUAAAGGCGUAAUGAAAGUAAAUAUAUAUAUAAUUUUUAUAAUUAUAUUUUAUAAAGGGAAGAUGGGUAACGUUAUUUAUGUUACCUCGCAUUCCCGGGGCGUCGCAUACUUAUUGCAAGUUGCGGCGCACCAAGAGCGUACACGCUGGGACCCGAAAGAUGGUGAACUAUGCCUGGUCAGGAUGAAGUCAGGGGAAACCCUGAUGGAGGUCCGUAGCGAUUCUGACGUGCAAAUCGAUCGUAUGAACUGGGUAUAGGGGCGAAAGACUAAUCGAACCAU
This 321-nucleotide ribosomal RNA is filed under the name Blackburnia fugitiva. RNAcentral describes it as "eukaryotic LSU rRNA". It matches the Rfam family "Eukaryotic large subunit ribosomal RNA", at positions 674 to 943 of the family's 3401-position model. RNAcentral also lists the same sequence under 1 other name. The record is from RNAcentral. Lineage: Eukaryota; Metazoa; Arthropoda; Insecta; Coleoptera; Carabidae.